This is a long non-coding RNA of Ahaetulla prasina, 1507 nucleotides long. RefSeq lists it as uncharacterized. The transcript is spliced from 3 exons. The record is from RefSeq and is a predicted model, not a curated record. NCBI's taxonomy places the organism in Eukaryota, Metazoa, Chordata, Lepidosauria, Squamata, Colubridae.
CGUCGUCGUCGUCGUCAUCAUCAUCAUCAUCAUCACCAUCAUCAUGAUCUGGAUAAGAUGGAUGAUUUUGAAACUAUAUAUCAGAUUAUAUUAUCUUAAAAAGAUUUCAUUAUCUGAACCAGCAUGUCGGUACCAAUGCCACAGAUAAUAGGAUCCUGUACGACUUGAAGGUGAACAGAAGGAAGAUAAAUUCUCAGGGAUUAUUAAACAAAAGCUCCCCUAAGACUCCUGUACAGCAAAGCUGGAAGAACCCAACGCACCACUCAAAAGCUGUCAGCCCAAAAUAAUUUGUGCAUCCUUUCACCAAGAUGCUACAGUUCCUUUAACGUUUUGCCUUUUGUAAAUCGUUUUCACAUAUCUACUUUUAUUUCUGUCUUUAUUUAAUUGAUAGGCUGCCCAUUUCACUGUCGAGCAUGACUUCACACUAUUAUGGACAAUCAAUCCUUUUAUAGCCAACAUCAUUUACCGAAUCCUCUCCACCCAUCAGCCGCUGCCUUUUCUUCUGGUAUCCCCUUGAAGGUCAAAGCAUUCAUUCUGAUAUGAUUCUUUAUAUACAGUUUACAUAAGAACCCUAAAGAGCAUAGAAUAAGGUGGGGGGGGGAGUGCACACCUGGAAGCCAAAGUCAUAAAUACGAUAGCUGAUACAGAAGAAAAGCAGAUGGAAAAGAUUUUUGCGGUGUUCUUUCAGCAAAGAGCAUUACAGUCUACUGACUGUUGAUAUUAUUUUUGGCAUGUUCCUUGGGCUGUGUGACGCUGAUGGAAAUAGAUGUUUCCAAGCAGACUGUACAAUGUGUUAAUAAAUCUGAAUUGGUGAAUUAGCCUUGAUAUGCCAUAUAAAUACUAGUGACUAAUGACCAACUGAAAUUGCAGUUCUACCAGUAUUGUAAUCUGAGAUACUCCAGGGGAGAUAUUUUCAGUAACAGGUUGCAUGAGGCAGACAACAAGCAAUUGACUGUAAGGGUAUUUUCACAAAAAGUUAUAGCAGCCCAGCUGGAGUCUGCCCUGAGUAUUGGAAUUCAAACAAAUGUGAGUCACUAAAUGUUAAUAAACUUUAGAUUUUAUAAGGUAAACAAUUUAAGCUUCUAAUUUAAAUAAUUGGAUUAUACUUGUUUAUAUAAUCCAAUUAUUGUUGGAUUGUAUAUUUGUUUGUAUACUUGUUAAAAAUAAUAAAAUUAUUUUUAACUAAUUUUCUUUCCGUUUCCAGCAAAGUCAUCAUUGAAAAGUACAACUUUGAAAUUGUUAUCUCUUCUUUCCAGAUUAAUUGCUGACAUAACAUAAAAUUAUUACUAAAAUAAUUACGUACAAUGAAUGAUAAUAAAAACAUUUUGAGAGGGUUUUUCUGAUGCUUAUACUGAAGAGCUUUUAAUCUUGUUAAUUCUAUGCAAUUCAGUAGAAUUUGGUUCGAGGUACCGGUAGAUAUGUUUUUGAGUUAUGUUGUUUUUAAUUUUGGUGGGAAUUUGAGAAAGCACUGGUGGCCCAGUGGUUAGAAUUCAGUAUUGCAGGCAAA